This 6939-nucleotide long non-coding RNA is filed under the name Zea mays. RNAcentral's name for it is "long non-coding RNA (ZMAY_LNC004636)". The record is from RNAcentral. Lineage: Eukaryota; Viridiplantae; Streptophyta; Magnoliopsida; Poales; Poaceae.
UUGUAACCAUGGUGUGGUUGUGUUAUAUAGGUGCGCUUAUUUUGCCACUUGGUCAGUGUCACACCCAGUUUUGGAAGGUAAAUCGAAUGCGAACCAUGUACGUGCCAGGAUCAGAACUCACGUACACAACGAUUACAUAAUUGGACAUUGUUGGGGGCCUUCGGCUUACGAAGGUCCUCAAAAACAGGAUUUAACAGUAUUUCUGGAGUAUAAUGUGUGUGAACAGGUAUCUUCGGACUCGAGUCGGUAUCACAGUAGGAGAAGCCCAAAAUAAUACGAAGGUUGAUACAACGCCGAAGAUGUGAGCGGGAAAGCUUCGGUGUGGUGGCAGAAAGUGAAACCGACUUAAAGAUGAAAAGGCCAUUCAGACCUCGGUGGAUUACUAUAGAAUUAUUACCAAAUGUAAAUGGCAUGAAUGUAAUUCUGUAUGAGCUGUGUCACAUGCCUAUAAAUAGGUGAACAGUAUCUCCGUACUGUUCACGCUGAUCGGUCAAUCACUUUUGCGUCACGCUUGUACUUUCAUUUCCUUCAAGCUGAAGGUACAUUUGUAAUUCGAUGUUAUUUCUGUUUCUACAUAACAAUAAUGCAAAAAUAAAUUAAUAAUAAUAAUAUGCAAUUGUCUAUGUUAUUCUUUAUAAUCCAUCCUCCGUCAUUGUAUUUAUGAAGGUACGCCCUUCAUAACCUUCGUCCGAAAGUCAUUAUAUCCUAAGGGGAAUAAUGCUUCGAAGGACGAAGGACUUUAACGAUUAACAUUUUUCUAUGUUGCCUUGUUCUUAACUUGAAGCGUUUGAGAACAAGUCCCCAACAUUGGCGCCCACCUCCGGUGAACUCACUUCCACUCUGAGUUUUCUGAACACCUUCGGCGAUCAUAAACCUUCGCUAUGGCGCCGAAGAAAGCUUCAGCAACUGGCACUGCAGCUCUUCAACCGCUGGACCACAAUCAGGAAACUGUCUCUCUUCAGGAGGCCCGAAGCCAGAAAAGGAAGGCUGUUAGCCCGACACCACUAGAGGAUGAGAUAGACCAAGAAAUCAGAGACAUGGAGAUGCUUCACCAACAGGUGCAGAAGAAGAAGGAAAAGAUGGCCAGGCUAGCUGAACUACAAAGGCAGAUAGACGAAGCCUCUGAGGAAGUUCGUCAUCUUACUCAGGAUGAGCAACACCGAAGGCCUCAGCACCAAGACCUUCAUCAGGAGGGUUUCCUCAAUGAAGAUGACUGGUAUGACAAUUUCCAUCAUGGGAAUUUUGUUUUUGAUGAUGCUUCUCCUCUGUCCGCUGAGCUGUAGGCUACACCUUGGCCUUCGUCCUACAAGCCGCCUCAGCUUCCCAUAUUUGAUGGUCACUCAGACCCGAAGCAGUUUUUGAUGAGCUACGAAGCAACAGUAUCUUCGUAUGGUGGCAAUGCUGCGGUCAUGGCCAAAUCUUUUGUUAUGGCUGUCAGGAGUGUUGCUCAAACCUGGUACUCCUCCCUUCGACCAGGAACCAUCACUUCAUGGCAAAAGCUGAAGGACUUGUUGUUAACCAGCUUCCAAGGGUUCCAGACGAAGCCGGUCACGGCUCAAGCUCUAUUCCAGUGCACCCAGGAUCACGAAGAGUACCUUCAGGCGUACGUCCGGAGGUUCUUGCGUUUGAGGGCACAGGCACCAACAGUGCCCAACGAAAUUGUCAUUGAGGCCAUGAUCAAGGGGCUUCGGCCAGGACCGUCAGCUCAGUACUUCGCUAGGAAGCCUCCUCAAACUUUGGAGAAGCUGCUCCAGAAGAUGGACGAGUACAUUCGGGCCGAUAAUGAUUUUCGCCAAAGAAGGGAGGAGGCUUUCAGGUUUUCUGAAAUGACCAGGGGCUUCGGAGGGAGGUUCUAUCCGAGGCACGUUAGAUCAAUUCAUAACUCUACCCAAAAUGACGAUAGAGGGAGCCAACAGCAAAGGCCACAGUGUUCCUCACAAGCUUCGGGGCAACAGCAAGGCUCUUUCCGACCACCAGCUCCGAGAGGCAGAGGCGCCAGGGGCUUCGGCGGAAGAUUUGGCGAUCAACCGAGAAGAAUCUUUUGCCUAUUCUGUGGUGAGAACAAAGGUCAUACCACCAGGAUGUGCCAUGUUACCAUCCAGAAGCAAAAGGAAAUAGCCGAAGCGGCAGCACAACAAGCUCAGUCGAAGCAGGUCAUGCACACUGCUUCGUAUCAUUCGCCUUACAUCCCAGAGUAUGUAGGCAAUCACCCUGCAGUUUCUGUUGCUUCGGCGAGUCAACCUCAAGCUUCCUGGCAACAGCCUCCGCCUCCACCACCGCUGCAACAAGGCCAGCAGCCAGAAGGGAGCCAAUAUGCUCCACACCAAAGGGACUUCAGAGAACAGUCCGAAGCUCGCACAGUCAACAGCACUGUGCCAGAGUCAAAGCACAUCUAUUGACAAAUAUCCUACAUAGAUAGCAGUCUUUUUUAUUCAGUUCUAUUUUCCGUGUAACAAAGGACAUCUUUUAAAUUUCAUGUAAUAGUUUCGUUCUUUGCCACAAGGAAAAUAUAUUUUCUCCACAGGUUUAAGUUGGCAAAGUAUAAAGAUUUGUAAUAACAAGGAGGACCUUCGAAUUAUCAAAAAAUUCUUCGAAGCAACAAAAAAGUCGUUCUAAGGAACGCAGAGUAAGUUUGCUGAAGUCAUAAAAAGCCGUUCCAAGGGGAGCGCAGUGUAAGUUUUCUGCUCCAAAGUCGUUCCUAAGGGAAUGCAGAGCUUACAGCGAAAAGUCAACGCUGAUUCCGCCGAAAGUAAAAGGCGAAGAAGCUCCAAAGUCGUUCCUAAGGGAAUGCAGAGCUUACAGCGAAAAAUAAACGCUGAUUCCGCUGAAGUAAAAGGCGAAGAAGCUCCUAAGGGAGGCUUAUAAAAGAUUGUGUGUUUUAUUGCAGGGAUGUGUGUGUAUCUUCGGAAUAAACACCACCUCGCAUAACAUAACAUCAUCGCAUCAUUUCGCAUAGCAUAAGCAUCAUACAUCAUGUUGCAUAUGGCACAAGAGGCGGACGCAAUAUCAAUCUGUAGAAGAACGUUUCGAAAAAAGGGAAAAAUCAUGAUGUCACAAGGAGAUACAUUAUUGAUCUUCAGAAGUGUAGCUUCGGAAAAUAUCUUCACGAAGCCUGGAUAUUAUUCAUCAGAACACUAUGGAGAUUGUUGUGACAAAGAAAAAUUCUUCUUCACGAAGCAUGAAAAGAAGGGAAGGUGUUUUUUCGUCAAAAACUCAAAAAUGGUAUGUGUAAAAUUUCAUGCAUCGUAAAGAAUUGAACAAUAAAAACAGGUAUAUUACAUUCAGGGUUAUAAAAUGUUACAAUAUAUUACAUUUCAGAAGUUUUUAUAAUAAUACUUAAUCUUCUCUCAAAACGACUUCUGCAGCUUCGUUCAGGAGCCGAUUAACAACUUCAUCCAUGAUAGCUUCAGCCAUCUCUUUAAUUUCGUCGUCUCCUUUCGGGGGAGGUCCCGAAGACGCUUUAGUAGGAUCUGAAGGAGGACAGGAUGCGGCUACACUGCUAUCACAAAUUGCGAACGAAGUUUAAAAUCGAAAAUUACAACACAAUAAAAACCACUAGUUGAUACCUAUUUGUCCUUCGGGCUCUGCGCUUUUUUCAGCAGCUUCAGCCACUUCUCUAGCAUCGUGAAUGCCCUUUUCGCUUUUUCGAAUAAUUUCUCGGGCCAUUUCUCGGCCACCAUUAUCCCAGACGUCGGUGAAAAAUUUUCCACCUACCAUGCUAGCUUCGGCCGAAGGAUCUCUUGCAUCUUCAAAGGACAAGCCAGCUUCGGAUUGUGCUAAAAUUUUUACAUGCUCGCAGCCCUUUUUCUCUAAGAUGGUGGCAAUUCCCCUGGCACCUGAGAAAGCGCAUAUGUCUCCGCGGCUGUUUAAAAUUUCCUCGAAAGCCUCAGCUUCGUGAUCGAUCCAUUCGAUAGGGCCUUUGGGGUCGCCUCUUGUAAAGUUUUCUUCGCUCGAAAAAGCGCCGACACUGGCGAAGCUAGCUUUCAACUUCUUCACACACUCUAUAGAUUUGUUAUAACAUCUUUUCUUGGAUGAACGAAGCUCUUCAACAGUUCCCUCUAAAUGAUUUGCCCAUUGGUCACUGAGUUCUCGUUUCGUUUCUUCAAGCAUGCGUUCCUCUUUGGCUCUGGCCAGUUGUUUUCGAAGAUCUUCAAUUUCGCGUUUCUGAGCUUCAGCUUGACCUUUAAAAGUAGCUUCGUCUUCCUUUAUUUUAUUUAUUAAUGAAUGUAAUAUUUUAUCUUUUUCGAGACCUUCGUUCCUCAGUUCAAUUACUUCGGAACGAAGGUUGCUUAGGGCUAUAGCACACCCUUCGUCUUCAGCAUCUUUUUGGGCCCUAAGGGCAUUGCUAAGUAUCAGGCCCUGCAAAGAAGAAUAUGUGUAUGUCAUUAGAUUUAAGCAAACGAAAAUUUUUGGUUUCAACAAAAAAUACAAAGUUCCCAUUUGUUGCACCUUUAAACUAUUAUAUGCCAGGCUGUCGGCCAGAUCGUUCUUCGACAGCACCGAGAGCCCGUCUUCUAGUGUUGGGAAUCCGAAGCUCUUGCUCAUCUCCCGACAGACAGAAAUCUCCUUACUGUCAGGGAGACAAUACAAAAAGUCUUCUUCUCCACUACCAUUGAAUAUUAACGCCCCCUUUGGAUACUUCAGUUUUUGGGCAUAGCGCUGGGCCUCUUGCUUUUCUUUUUCUGAUAAUUUUUUCCCCGAAGCAUGACGAACAAUAUAAUCAAGGACUUUGGGGGAUGCUUCGGGGGCAAUGACACUGAUUUCUUCAAAAGUUGGCCCUGUUAUUUUUUCUUCUUCGGUUUCCAAGGAUUUUAUCUUCGUGGGCUCUGAGGACCCAACUUCGGCUUCAGUUUCUUGCUCUGGAACUUUAAUAUCAGAAAUUUCAGUUUUUGCUUCGGGAAUGGCAACAGUUUUCUUCGGAGGUGUGCUUGAUGAUUUAAUUGUUUCCAGAACAUCUAGCACAUUAGCCAUUCUCUUUCUUUUCGGAGUCACUGCUAGCACCUUUCGAUUUUUUACUAUCUCAACAUUUGCUGCAGGACUAAAAACUUCUGAUGUUUUUUCCUCAGUUGGUUUUUUCACUUCUUCCAUUUUUUCUGUGGAUGGCGCUUCGGCCACCUCUUUUGUUUCUGGUAACAAAAUCUUCGGUUCUUCCAAUUCUAUCCUUGUUGGCGCUUCGGCCAUUUCUGCGACUUCUGGCAACAAGGUUGGUUUGGUUGGCUUUUCUGCUUCGGUGGCCGAAGAGGUUUCUCCGGUGAACUCAAGCACCGAAGCUAGUUCAAUAUAGCGCGGCCGAUGUGUGAGGACUUUUAUCCUCUUUCUUUUCGGUUCUGGCUCGCUAGGAGCAGUUGCAGCUUCUUCUUUCACAGAGAUUGUGUUUUUUCUUUUCUGCCCUCGAAUGGGAUAACGAUAGUCAGGGUAGACGAACCCGAUUGCAUCAAACACCCGAUUCAGCCUCUUCUUUUUUCGGCCUCCGAAGGCUGCUGACAGUGCAGUAUCUUCGGCCUUCGAAUAAGCCCCGAGCAGUUCAUCACUUAAAUUUUCAAUGCUUUUUAACCAGUCAUCAUCUGGCUCAACGUAUUUAUCUCCGAACUUAAAAGUAUACUUCAGCCUGAUAAGUCCACCUUCGUCGGCUUCUUUUAUGUUUUCUUGCGGCAUUUCCCAUUUCUCCGCGAGCGGCCAUACCCUGAAGGCAAUAUGCUCUUGUACCAAAUCUCUCGUUCCAAUAAAAGAACAAAUAACGCCGAAGGCUCUCUGGCAUUCUUCGGCAGCUUCAUUCAUUUCAACCUUCGGCCUCCGAAGGCCGAAGCUUUGCCAAAUAGGGCGCAUAAUUAUACCUUUGAUAUCUUCUCGUACUGUCAGGUCAUUCUUCACAUAAAACCAUUCUGUCAUCCAGUCGCCGGGCCAUCUCUUCCGAAAGGUUGGCACGGGACAGCUUGACCCGGACCGAGAAACGAAACUGUAGCAGCCAAAAUUGUUGUGAUACUGUUCUUUACCCCAAGGUUUUGUUUCGCAUAAUAACUCGUGUAUAUUGCAGAAACUUUUUGCAUCAGGCUUCAGACCUUGGCUUCUCACGGCCCACACGAAGAUAUUCAGCCUUAUGAUUGCCUCGGGGGUAAGUUGGUGAAGAUAAACUUCGAAUAUUUUCAGCACCUCUAUGACAAACUCGCUCAAGGGAAAUCGUAGUCCAGCUUUUAAAAAGCUUCGGUACACUACGACUUCAUUCUCUUCAGGGUGUGGACAAGUUUUUCCCCUUCGUCGGCCCUCACAAUGGACAGAUCCCGGAAAUACCUUCCUCUCAUGUUGACAAGAUGAUUUUCUUUGAUAGUUGAUUUGCCGAAAACCGCAUGGCUUGGUCGCCAAGGGCGAUCUUUGGAGUCUUCACCACCACUGUCCACAUCAUAACUGUCGCUGUCACCAGUAUCUUCAGACAAACCUUCCAGAAUCUCCUUGGUGAUUUUUUCUGUAUUGGUCUUCGACAUCGCUAUAAGAAACCCCAAGUUCUUCUCUUCGUCGAGACUCAGCUUCAUCUCAGCAGCAGCCUUCUUAUCUUCAGACAUCUUCGGAAACACUAAAAAACUGUUUUCAAAGCCGAAGCUUCAAAACUAAAAGCUCAGCAAAUCUUAGUGAACAAGAGCUAAAAAUUGAGUGAGCGGGAGCAGAUGGCAAGAGAGCGUGCCAAAUGAGUUUGCGGUAUGACCGUAUUUAUACGCCCAGUGCGUUGAAAAUUGAAAGACCCCGCUUGUCAGUGAAUGUUGCUAUUCUAGCAAAGGGAAGGUGUUUUUUUGGACCUUCGGCGUAAAGCCUUCGUCCAUGUCGCAAUCUAAAUUUAUUAUUUCAAACAAAUUAAUAUUGCGAGGGGCUACUGUUGGGGGCCUUCGGCUUACGAAGGUCCUCAAAAACAGGAUUUAACAGUAUUUCUGGAGUAUAAUGUGUGUGAAC